Molecule: transfer RNA, 87 nt
Filed under: Sphingomonas desiccabilis
Lineage: Bacteria; Pseudomonadati; Pseudomonadota; Alphaproteobacteria; Sphingomonadales; Sphingomonadaceae
Also listed under: 1 other name
Rfam family: tRNA
About the family: Transfer RNA (tRNA) molecules are approximately 80 nucleotides in length. Their secondary structure includes four short double-helical elements and three loops (D, anti-codon, and T loops). Further hydrogen bonds mediate the characteristic L-shaped molecular structure. tRNAs have two regions of fundamental functional importance: the anti-codon, which is responsible for specific mRNA codon recognition, and the 3' end, to which the tRNAs corresponding amino acid is attached (by aminoacyl-tRNA synthetases). tRNAs cope with the degeneracy of the genetic code in two manners: having more than one tRNA (with a specific anti-codon) for a particular amino acid; and 'wobble' base-pairing, i.e. permitting non-standard base-pairing at the 3rd anti-codon position.
Source: Rfam by way of RNAcentral
GGAGAGGUGCCGGAGUGGUCGAUCGGGGCGGUCUCGAAAACCGUUGAGCCCGCAAGGGUUCCGAGGGUUCGAAUCCCUCCCUCUCCG